This is a long non-coding RNA of Dromiciops gliroides (monito del monte), 200 nucleotides long. RefSeq lists it as uncharacterized. The record is from RefSeq and is a predicted model, not a curated record. NCBI's taxonomy places the organism in Eukaryota, Metazoa, Chordata, Mammalia, Microbiotheria, Microbiotheriidae. The transcript has 3 exons.
CUGUUCCAUUCUUCAAACUGUACCCGAGAUCAUGCCCGGGAAGAGCCAAGAUGUUUCCAGUCCAUCUGAGGUUUCCACCAUGUUUCUCCAAUUUGUUUCUGAUCCUUUUGGUAAAUGCGCUCCUGAAAACUAACAAGCUCUUGAAGAAGCAGAGUCACACAUUCAUCAAUUUCUUUACAGAGAACCUGAUUACAGUACCU